RNAcentral lists this ribosomal RNA (468 nucleotides) under uncultured bacterium. RNAcentral describes it as "partial 16S ribosomal RNA". It matches the Rfam family "Bacterial small subunit ribosomal RNA", at positions 28 to 507 of the family's 1533-position model. The record is from RNAcentral.
GACGAACGCUGGCGGCGUGCCUAACACAUGCAAGUCGAACGGAUAGGGCGUGCUUUGGUCUGGUGUUCGCGUGGCGAACGGGUGAGUAACACGUGAGUAACCUUCCUUUUACUGGGGGAUAACUGCAGGAAACUGGUGCUAAUACCGGAUAGGAGCUGCUGCUGCAUGGUGGUGUUUGGAAAUCUUCGGCGGUUGGGGUUGGACGCGCGGCUUAGUAGUUUGUUGGUGGGGGAGUGGCUAACCAAGGCUUGGACGGCUAGCCGGCCUGGGAGGGUGAUCAGCCACAUUGGGCCUGCGGGAGGGCCCAGACUCCAACGGGGGGCAGCGGUGGAAAAUAUUGCACAAUGGGCGGACGCCUGAUAAAACGACGUCGCGUGCGGAAAGACGGCCAUCGGGGUAGAAAGCGCUUUAGCCUGUGACGUUGCGUGUGUGACGGUAAUGGGAAAAGAAGCACCGGCUAACUACGUG